AGUGAACGCUGGCGGCAGGCCUAACACAUGCAAGUCGAACGGCAGCACAGUAAUAGCUUGCUUUUACGGGCGGCGAGGGGCGUACCACGGAGGUAUACAUCCCUAUCCAUUGUGUCGACGGGGGGAACGUGGGGAAACUUACGGUAAUACCGCAUACGACCUACGGGUGGGAUCAGGGGAUCUUCGGAUCUUGCGUGAACGAACGAGCCGUGGUCGGGUUGGCUAGUUGGCGGCGUACAGGCGCACCAAGGCGUCGGUCGGUAGCUGGGCUGAGAGGAGGAUCAGGCACAGUGGAACUGAGACACGGUCUAGACUCCUACGGGAGGCAGCGGUGGGGAAUAUUGGACAAUGGGCGGAAGCCUGAUCCAGCGAUGCCGCGUGGGUGAAGAAGGCCUGCGGGUUGUAAAGCCCUUUUGUUGGGGAAGAAAGGCAGCAGGUUGAGACCCGGCUGUCCUGACGGUACCAAAAGAAUAAGCACCGGCUAACUUCGUG
This 492-nucleotide ribosomal RNA is filed under the name uncultured bacterium. RNAcentral describes it as "partial 16S ribosomal RNA". It matches the Rfam family "Bacterial small subunit ribosomal RNA", at positions 30 to 507 of the family's 1533-position model. The record is from RNAcentral.